Molecule: long non-coding RNA, 1131 nt
Filed under: Anser brachyrhynchus (Pink-footed goose)
Lineage: Eukaryota; Metazoa; Chordata; Aves; Anseriformes; Anatidae
Description: lncRNA (ENSABRG00000015546.1)
Source: RNAcentral
AGUCUAAUGAGUAGGACAGGGCAUUGAAACACCAUGCAAGAUCAUCGCUCUCUGACAGGGCCUGAAUGUUAGAGCCCAGCAUGCUAAAAAUCUCCAUCCCUGGUGGGCAGCUCGGGGCAGGGUAGGUCUCCUUCUCCUCUGCCACUGCUGGGGUGGCUGGAGACUCAGCAGGGGGCUUGAGAAGAGGUGGGUUCCGUCCGUGCUCAGGCUCUGCUGUGUGUGUUUCUCCUCCAGAGCAAUUUCUGAAUGGCUGAGCUGCAGUUAUCUUUAUUGAAAGCCAUCUCACUUCCCAAAAUGUCUGGCUCUUUGGGGUCAAGUUCAGCAUGCUUCAUCCCCAAUACUAUAUAAUCACAUCUACGCAGAACCUUGAAAACCAAAUGGCUGCUACAAUGCUUAUAGGGCAUUUUCCAGGAAUUAUUCCGCUUUCCGCUGAUGUGUAAUGGCAUGUUUGAAAUAUGUGGUUACAGGAUUUUAGUCUAGAGCUGCGAUAACACUACAUAGUCAAUCUUUUCUCAGUAUAGGGAUUUUUUAAUCCAUAAACACAUCAUGUUUAAACACUGGCUGGCAGAGGCAGGUCUCUGCAGUCUGUCAGCUCACUGUAGAGGGGGCUGGAGGCAGGCAGGGUGACGAAGAGCUGUGCCUGGGUCACAGCACAGCGUCUGCGCUCCACGAGGGUGGUGACCACAAGAGUGACUGCAGCGAGUCAAAAUACAGCCCUAGAAGGAAAGCAGUCUUCGGUUUUCCCAAUGGAGACGGUCCCCCAGGGAUCACCAAAUAGAGAAAUAAUUUCCAUGAGCCUUACUGGAGUUUAUAUGGAAGUAGGUUCUGAAUUGCUUAAGGGGAACUCAUAAGAGCAGAUCUCUUGAAACUUUUGCCUAAGGAAUAUGAAAAUAUUGAAAAUGACAAGGUAACUGCUGUAGAAACAAGAGCACAUCACAGCAUUAUCAGUAAUCAUUAAUAUAGACUUUGUGAUUGUGAUAACAAAUGAAACCCUGUUGUUUGUCAGGCUUCACUUACAGAAAAAAAUAACAAAUCUUGGUAGGGCAAAAAAGUACAUAUACUGUCAACAACACAUUGUCACUCCUUCAUGUGAGGAAAAUUGUUAAUAAAGACCAUGUGUGUUUUUCCUCA